RNA transcript from Cercocebus atys (sooty mangabey), 2779 nucleotides. It is a transcript of the gene named protein SDA1 homolog, with no coding region annotated. The record is from RefSeq and is a predicted model, not a curated record. The transcript has 2 exons. NCBI's taxonomy places the organism in Eukaryota, Metazoa, Chordata, Mammalia, Primates, Cercopithecidae.
AUGUCCAGCAGAAACAACAACAAGCUGCCCAGCAACCUGCCGCAGUUACAGAAUCUGAUCAAGCGAGACCCACCGCCCUACAUCGAGGAGUUUCUACAGCAGUAUAAUCACUACACAUCCAGUGUGGAGAUUUUCAAAUUGCAACCAAAUAAACCCAGCAAAGAACUAGCAGAACUGGUAAUGUUUAUGAUUAGUCUCUGCUACACAGGGUAUCUAAGUAAUUUUCUUCAAGUGGUGAAAGAUCUUAUGUCCUGUAAUCAUACCGUAUUGGAUCCAGAUCUUCGAAUGACGUUUUGCAAAGCUUUGAUCUUGCUGAGAAAUAAGAAUCUCAUCAAUCCAUCAAGCCUACCAGAGCUCUUCUUUGAACUUCUAUGUUGCCAUGAUAAGCUUCUGCAAAAGACUUUAUACACACAUAUCGUGACUGAUAUCAAGAAUGCAAACACAAAACACAAGAAUAAAGUGGAUGUAGUAUUGCAAAAUUUCAUGUACACCAUGUUAAGAGAUAGCAAUGCAACCACAGCCAAGAUGUCUUUAGAUGUUAUGACUGAACACUACAGAAGGAACAUCUGGAAUGAUACCAAAACUGUCAGUGUUAUCACAACUGCCUGUUUCUCUAAGGUCACCAAGAUAUUAGUUGCUGCUAUGACAUUCUUUCUUGGGAAAGAUGAAGAUGAAAUACAGGACAGUGACUCCGAAUCUGAGGAUGACAGACCAACAGCAAGAGACCUGCUAGCACAAUAUGCUAUAGGGAAGAAAAGUUCCCAAAACAAGAAAACAUUGGAAAAGGCAAUAAAAGUGCUCAAAAAACAAAAGAAGAAGAAAAAACCAGAGGUGUUUAACUUUUUAGCUAUUCACUUGAUUCAUGAUCCCCAAGAUUUUGCAGAAAAACUACUAAAGCAGCUUGAAUGCUGUAAGGAGAGGUUGGUAGUGAAGAUGAUGCUCAUGAACCUCAUCUCCAGAUUGGUGGGAAUUCAUGAGCUCUUCCUCUUCAAUUUCUGUCACUUUUUGCAAAGGUUUCUGCAGCCCACCAAAGAGAAGUAACAAAGAUCCUUGUUUGCUGCACAAGCAUCUCAUCACCUAGUACACCCAGCGAUUAUUCAAUCAUUGCUUAUGACUGUGGUCAACAAUUUUGUUAUUGACAAGAACUCUGGAGAAGCCAUGACAGUAGGAAUCAAUGCUAUAAAAGAGAUAACAGCUCAGUGUCCUCUGGCCAUGACUGAAGAGCUUCUCCAAGACCUGGCCUGGCUCAGUAUAAACCACACAAGAAUAAGAAUGUAAUGAUGUCUAGUAGAACUUUGAUUCAGCUCUUCCGAACACUGAAUCCUCAGAUGCUGCAGAAGAAAUUCUGGGGUAAGCCUACAGAAGCCUCUGUAGAAGCAAGAAUACAGUAAUAUGGAGAAUUAGAUGCUAAAGAUUACAUUCCAGGAGCAGAAGUUCUGGAAGUUGAGAAAGAGGAGAAUGCUGAAAAUGAUGAAGAUGGAUGGGGAAGUACCAGUCUCAGUGAGGAGGAGGAUGCCGAUGGGGAAUGGGUUGAUGUUCAACACUCUUCCGAUGAAGAACAGCAAGAAAUUUCCAAGAAGCUGAACAGCAUGCCCAUGGAAGAGCAGAAAGCCAAAGCAGCAGCCAUUAGCACCAGUCGAGUUUUAAGUCAGGAAGACUUCCAGAAAAUCCGCAUUGCCCAAAUGAGAAAAGAACUUGACGCUGGCCCCUGAGAAAUCCCAGAAGAGGAAAUAUAUUGAAAUUGACAGUGACGAAGAGCCCAGGAGUGAAUUACUUUCUCUUCGGGACGUUGAACGCCUUCAUAAAAAGCCAAAGCCAAAGUCUGACAAAAAGACAAGAAUAUCAGCUGCAAUGUCUGGAAAGACAGACUGAAAAGGAUUUGUGAGGAAGAAAACCAAAAUGAAUCCAUUUUCCAGUUCAAAAAAUAAAGAGAAGAAAAAACAGAAGAACUUUAUGAUGAUGCUGUAUAGCCAGAAUGUCUGGUCAAACAAUAAGCGUUCCUUCCGAGAAAAAUAGUUGGCGCUGCGAGAUGCACUUUUGAAAAAGAGAAAAAGAAUGAACUUCCCAGAAAGUUUUCCAUUCCAAGAAGAAUGCUAAUUUGUGUCACUAUUAUUCAUGCAAAAGUAUUGAAUGCCUGUUGUCCCUGUAGAUACAAAAUGAAUGAGUUGUAACUACCCCUUCACUCAAGGCUUGACAGCUUAGUUGUGGGGGUGAACACAUACAUGUGUAUUUACAGUGCAGUGUAAAUAGUUCUCUAGUAGAGGUAGGUCCAUAUUUCUAUGCAGUCACUGAGGCCUUAUGGACUAACACUGUGGGGAUGGGGGUUAUAUAUUCCUGUAAAACAAAACAAAACAGGAUAAUUAUAACAAGAGUAAGAGGUUCUUUCUUGUAUGUAGGCUUACCUGCUGAAAACAGGCCCCUGCUGUACAGAUUUUGGGUACAUAAUUGAGCUCUUUUAGUCAAUUCAAGAGAUUUAAAUGACCCCCCCCCCCUUUUUUUUCUUUUUGGAAUGCCAUUUAAAGGCUUUUUGGUUAAGACCUCACUUUUUGGAAUGUAUUUAGUUCAUCAUUUGAGAUGACUUCAUACUGGUUUCCUCAACCUUCCUUCACCCUGUAUUAUUUUCAGCCCACUGUUUACCUUGUCUCAAUAAAAGGUUUCUAAUGCCAAAUAAAAAAAUAUUGAGGGGAUUAUUGACAUAUUUAUAGAAUUGUUUUCCCAGUCAGGACUACGAGAUCCCACUUUGUUCUAUUUUCCUUUUAGGUGCUCCUUUUAAAAGGUU